UCUUUAAAUAAAUAAAUAAAUAAAUAAAUAAGAAUUGGAUCUACAAAAGGGAGGGUUAACAUGGCCCCUGCACAAUGAUGACACACAAAUUUGUGAAGCAUUCCAUAUUUGU
This 112-nucleotide small nuclear RNA is filed under the name Mus pahari (shrew mouse). Lineage: Eukaryota; Metazoa; Chordata; Mammalia; Rodentia; Muridae. The record is from RNAcentral.